This 468-nucleotide ribosomal RNA is filed under the name uncultured bacterium. RNAcentral describes it as "partial 16S ribosomal RNA". It matches the Rfam family "Bacterial small subunit ribosomal RNA", at positions 28 to 507 of the family's 1533-position model. The record is from RNAcentral.
GACGAACGCUGGCGGCGUGCUUAACACAUGCAAGUCGAACGGAAAGGCCCUGCUUUUGUGGGGUGCUCGAGUGGCGAACGGGUGAGUAACACGUGAGUAACCUGCCCUUGACUUUGGGAUAACUUCAGGAAACUGGGGCUAAUACCGGAUAGGAGCUCCUGCUGCAUGGUGGGGGUUGGAAAGUUUCGGCGGUUGGGGAUGGACUCGCGGCUUAUCAGCUUGUUGGUGGGGUAGGUGCUUACCAAGGCUUUGACGGGUAGCCGGCCUGAGAGGGUGACCGGCCACAUGGGGACUGAGAUACGGCCCAGACUCCUACGGGAGGCAGCAGUGGGGGAUAUUGCACAAUGGGCGGAAGCCUGAUGCAGCAACGCCGCGUGCGGGAUGACGGCCUUCGGGUUGUAAACCGCUUUCGCCUGUGACGAAGAGUGAGUGACGGUAAUGGGUAAAGAAGCACCGGCUAACUACGUG